RNAcentral lists this ribosomal RNA (664 nucleotides) under uncultured cyanobacterium. RNAcentral describes it as "bacterial SSU rRNA". It matches the Rfam family "Bacterial small subunit ribosomal RNA", at positions 99 to 795 of the family's 1533-position model. Lineage: Bacteria; Bacillati; Cyanobacteriota. The record is from RNAcentral.
CGGACGGGUGAGUAACGCGUGAGAAUCUGCCUUUUGGUCGGGGACAACCACUGGAAACGGUGGCUAAUACCGGAUGAGCCUACGGGUAAAAGAUUUAUUGCCAAAAGAAGAGCUCGCGUCUGAUUAGCUAGUUGGUGUGGUAAGAGCGCACCAAGGCGACGAUCAGUAGCUGGUCUGAGAGGAUGACCAGCCACACUGGGACUGAGACACGGCCCAGACUCCUACGGGAGGCAGCAGUGGGGAAUUUUCCGCAAUGGGCGCAAGCCUGACGGAGCAAGACCGCGUGAGGGAGGAAGGCUCUUGGGUUGUAAACCUCUUUUAUCAGGGAAGAAAAAAAUGACGGUACCUGAUGAAUCAGCAUCGGCUAACUCCGUGCCAGCAGCCGCGGUAAUACGGAGGAUGCAAGCGUUAUCCGGAAUUAUUGGGCGUAAAGCGUCCGCAGGUGGCUAUUCAAGUCUGUUGUUAAAGCACGGGGCUUAACCCCGGAAAGGCAAUGGAAACUGAAAAGCUAGAGUGCAGUAGGGGUAAAGGGAAUUCCCGGUGUAGCGGUGAAAUGCGUAGAGAUCGGGAAGAACAUCGGUGGCGAAAGCGCUUUACUGGACUGCAACUGACACUCAGGGACGAAAGCUAGGGGAGCGAAUGGGAUUAGAUACCCACAGUAGUC